Molecule: ribosomal RNA, 252 nt
Filed under: uncultured bacterium
Lineage: Bacteria
Description: partial 16S ribosomal RNA
Rfam family: Bacterial small subunit ribosomal RNA
Source: RNAcentral
UACGUAGGGGGCAAGCGUUGUCCGGAUUCAUUGGGCGUAAAGAGCGUGUAGGCGGCCAGGUAGGUCGGUUGUGAAAACUGGAGGCUCAACCUUCAGAGGUCGACCGAAACCAUCUGGCUAGAGUCCGGGAGAGGAGAGUGGAAUUCCUGGUGUAGCGGUGAAAUGCGCAGAUAUCAGGAAGAACACCCGUGGCGAAAGCGGCUCUCUGAACGGUACUGACGCUGAGACGCGAAAGCGUGGGGAGCGAACAGG